AUGGCCCCCAAGGAGCAAAGACUUCACGCUGAUCUGUUCAAGGUGACCCACCAGAAGGUGGUUGAUGCCAUCAGGGCAAACAUAACUAAUCAGACCUCAUAUGAUCAAAUUAAGAUUAUCCAACUCAGCUGCGAGCCGACAGAUGAAGAAUUGUUGAUGUUUUAUGCGGAGGUCCAUAAUCACCUAUUGGAGGUGGCUUCCCUUUCUAUCAACAAGAACGUUGAUUUCUUUGCGCCAGAGGAGGGAUUCGCGGAAGGCUUUGUUCCUGAGAUUGCAGAAGGACUACCAGUUUUAAGGCCUCAAACUAAGAAUAUAUCAUAUUUCAUUGUCGAGUUUGUUGGUGGUCCUGGAGAACCACGCCUGCAAUUUGCUGUUCGCCAUGACAAUCUGUACUGUGUCGGUUUCCGGGUGUUGUCUGCCAAUGAUAACGCAAAAACCAAAGAUUGGUCCUCUUUUGGUGAUGUUAACCUUUUGAAGUGUGCUGCAUUUCCUAAUGUUGAGGCAUCUAGAUUGUCAGAGAGCUAUAAAUCUUCGUAA
Molecule: ribosomal RNA, 537 nt
Filed under: Triticum aestivum (bread wheat)
Lineage: Eukaryota; Viridiplantae; Streptophyta; Magnoliopsida; Poales; Poaceae
Description: partial small subunit ribosomal RNA
Source: RNAcentral